This is a long non-coding RNA of Penaeus monodon (black tiger shrimp), 257 nucleotides long. RefSeq lists it as uncharacterized. The transcript has 3 exons. The record is from RefSeq and is a predicted model, not a curated record. NCBI's taxonomy places the organism in Eukaryota, Metazoa, Arthropoda, Malacostraca, Decapoda, Penaeidae.
UGAUAGUGAAUGCGGAGGAAGGGUUCGCCCAACAACACUUAUUUGACACUCCCUAAAUUCUCCCCCUGAUCUCUAAAAAAACAGACGGCGCUGGCGUUUUGGAGAUAAAGAAGACCAGCCGCACCGCCCUUGGGAGAUGUCACUCUGAGUAUGGAAGAGUCGUCACAAGGGUGAGUCUUCAGUGAAAGAGAGAUACGACAUCGGAGGAUCCAGCAUUUGACCUCUGCUAACGUCACUAACUCAUUUCUCAUGAAAGA